This is a non-coding RNA of Caenorhabditis elegans, 202 nucleotides long. Lineage: Eukaryota; Metazoa; Nematoda; Chromadorea; Rhabditida; Rhabditidae. The record is from Ensembl.
CUCCGGAUGUCAGAAGUAGAGAGCACGAGACGCAGACAAGAGUUACGAAAUAUUGGGGAGACAGUGCGUGAGAGGAAGAGACGCAGAGUGAGUUGCUAUGGGAGACCCCGAGGACCUCAUUUGUUUUUUCAAAUUCCUGCGAAGGUCGGAUGUGGAAAAUUUUAGUUUGAUUGGAUUGUUUUUCGAGAAAUUCGAGACACUU